Molecule: transfer RNA, 98 nt
Filed under: Microbacterium saperdae
Lineage: Bacteria; Bacillati; Actinomycetota; Actinomycetes; Micrococcales; Microbacteriaceae
Description: tRNA-Trp
Source: RNAcentral
AGGUCGCGUCGGCGGGUUCGUCCGUCUUCGCGCCCUUCCAGAGGGCGAAGUCCUGCGGGUUCCGCUUGCCCCGGGGGUCCGCAUCCUCUGCGGCCUCC